CCAACUGAAUUAUCAUGGCCCAAAUCGCCUAUCUAUAGCGAGCCCGUUCUAGACCCAACUAAUUUGUUAUUACCCCCAAAAUUAACCCUACCUUUCUUCUUCAAACCCCCCCCCCCUUCUGAAAUAUAACACCCGAAAUUUGCAGCUCCGCUGCUGCAAACUCAGAUUCUUUGUCCCUAAUCAAAAUCAAGGCCCCAAAUCUUGACCCUUCCCCAAAUGAUGCCGAUUUGAUCGAGUUUUGAUUCUAAUUUACCCUCAAGUUUCGCCUUGAUUUUUUCUCAACUAACAUUCAGGGAAAGAAAGGUUCCGAUGGCUCUUUCGACUUCUCUUUCUCCGGUAUAAUCACCGGCGAUGGAGAAACAAUCGCACCAUCAACUUGUUUGGGACCAACGGCCGGGCAGGCUUCUUGUACAUGUCCAAACCUGCCAUAAGCAAAGCAAACUGUUGGUCAAUAAACACUACCAUCCUAGAAAGCUUCCCCCUUGAACCACGAUCAGUCUGGAAAUCAAGUUUAGCUACUUUGCGGAUCAACCCGCCUAUUUCCUCCAAGAUUUUCCGUUUAUAGAAAAACCCCGACAAACCAGGAAGUCGAAUCCAAACCAUAACAUUCCUCGGGAAUGGCUGAAGUGGAUUGAAUUCAGGAGUCCACGGCUGCACCAUGAGAUAUUUCCCAAGAACGAUCUAUGGCCCCUGAGUAAGAACCCUCUCAUAAUCUUUCCGACAUUGAAAUCUAACCAGAAAGUAACCAUUUUCGACGUCCAUGAGAUGGAACUACUACGAAGGCUUCCAAAGGCUAGAGAUCCUGUUAUAGAGAGGUACAUUCGACACUUUCCUACCCAACAAUUUCACCACCAACGUGGUUGCCAUAUCUAGCACCAAAAGUUUUUGGAUUCUCUCUGAAAAAGCUAAUCGUAGGUAACCCAUUAACUGUAGAUUUCAUAAUAUCACCAUCUAAAUAUUCCAGAUCUUCAUCACAUCCAAAAUCAGAUGAUCUACUACCAACCACUUUGUCCUUCCAAGACAGCACUUAUGUUGGAGAGGGAUUAACAACCAUACCACAACUCGAGUCAUUAACCACUCCGCUAAUCAUAUACACAUCCAUCCUUUUGAAUUUGACCUUUUCGGUGGUACGAUCCUCAUUCGAAGAUACGCCACCAUCAUCGUCAACCAUCGUCGUCGUCAUCCAAUAUGUUUUUCUUAUUGAAAUAAAUCUUUCUAGAAAUUAAUUUGUUCCACUAAACCUGGAAUUGAAAAAGAAAAGUGUAAACAAUUGUCUAUAUAUAUUAAUUAAUUAAAUUUAAAUUUUACCUUUCAUUA
Gossypium raimondii (Peruvian cotton) is the source of this 1317-nucleotide long non-coding RNA. RefSeq lists it as uncharacterized. The record is from RefSeq and is a predicted model, not a curated record. The transcript has 2 exons. Lineage: Eukaryota; Viridiplantae; Streptophyta; Magnoliopsida; Malvales; Malvaceae.